This 561-nucleotide ribosomal RNA is filed under the name uncultured bacterium. RNAcentral describes it as "partial 16S ribosomal RNA". It matches the Rfam family "Bacterial small subunit ribosomal RNA", at positions 355 to 907 of the family's 1533-position model. The record is from RNAcentral.
UGGGGAAUAUUGCACAAUGGGCGCAAGCCUGAUGCAGCCAUGCCGCGUGUGUGAAGAAGGCCUUCGGGUUGUAAAGCACUUUCAGCGAGGAGGAAGGUGGUGGACUUAAUACGUUCAUCAAUUGACGUUACUCGCAGAAGAAGCACCGGCUAACUCCGUGCCAGCAGCCGCGGUAAUACGGAGGGUGCAAGCGUUAAUCGGAAUUACUGGGCGUAAAGCGCACGCAGGCGGUUUGUUAAGUCAGAUGUGAAAUCCCCGGGCUCAACCUGGGAACUGCAUUUGAAACUGGCAAGCUAGAGUCUCGUAGAGGGGGGUAGAAUUCCAGGUGUAGCGGUGAAAUGCGUAGAGAUCUGGAGGAAUACCGGUGGCGAAGGCGGCCCCCUGGACGAAGACUGACGCUCAGGUGCGAAAGCGUGGGGAGCAAACAGAUUAGAUACCCUGGUAGUCCACGCUGUAAAACGAUGUCGAUUUUGGAGGUUGUGCCCUUGAGGCGUGGCUUCCGGAGCUAACGCGUUAAAUCGACCGCCUGGGGAGUACGGCCACAAGGUUAAAACUCAAAGG